Molecule: ribosomal RNA, 464 nt
Filed under: uncultured bacterium
Lineage: Bacteria
Description: bacterial SSU rRNA
Rfam family: Bacterial small subunit ribosomal RNA
Source: RNAcentral
CCUACGGGGCGCACCAGUGGGGAAUAUUGCACAAUGGGCGCAAGCCUGAUGCAGCCAUGCCGCGUGUGUGAAGAAGGCCUUCGGGUUGUAAAGCACUUUCAGCGAGGAGGAAGGCGGUGAGGUUAAUAACCUCAUCGAUUGACGUUACCCGCAGAAGAAGCACCGGCUAACUCCGUGCCAGCAGCCCGGUAAUACGGAGGGUGCAAGCGUUAAUCGGAAUUACUGGGCGUAAAGCGCACGCAGGCGGUCUGUCAAGUCGAAUGUGAAAUCCCCGGGCUCAACCUGGGAACUGCAUUCGAAACUGGCAAGCUAGAGUCUUGUAGAGGGGGGUAGAAUUCCAGGUGUAGCGGUGAAAUGCGUAGAGAUCUGGAGGAAUACCGGUGGCGAAGGCGGUCCCCUGGACUAAGACUGACGCUCAGGUGCGAAAGCGUGGGGAGCAAACAGGAUUAGAUACCCCUGUAGUC